Long non-coding RNA from Hordeum vulgare subsp. vulgare (domesticated barley), 941 nucleotides. RefSeq lists it as uncharacterized. The record is from RefSeq and is a predicted model, not a curated record. The transcript is spliced from 3 exons. Lineage: Eukaryota; Viridiplantae; Streptophyta; Magnoliopsida; Poales; Poaceae.
CAACAAUUAUACAAUUAUUUAGGUACAGACGAAGUAUAAGUAAUUCCUGUUGCAGGUUUUUCAAGUGGAUUUUAGGGUACUGUGCAUCAGAAGGGAUAGUGGGGGACCCCAAACCCAGAAUUUCCAGCAGAUAAAGGACCUGAGUUGUUCAAGGGAAAAAUAUUGCACUCUGUGGACUAUUCUUACACAGAUAAUGCGGCUGAAUUUGUCGAAGGGAAGAGUGGCAUACUUGGAUCUGGAAAAUAAGCAUUUGAUAUUGCUGCAGAGGUUGCCAAGUUGAAUGGUGCAGCUCAGCCGUGCACCAGGAUCUGCAGAAAACUAACGGGGACUUUACAUUAAUUACUUCUACCUUAACCGCAUCUCGCAACUACUUGUUCAUAAGCCUGGUGGAGGAUUUCUGCACUACAUAUUGGCUUGCGCACUCUCUCCCUUGAGAAAGUAUACGCCCUCAAAUUGCUCAGUUGGCAACAGUCGGGUACUCAGAAAGCCUUACCGACAAUAUAUGCCUCAAAGAGGAUUUGUCAAUUGGGUAAUCCAUUUCCUUUUUGGUGGCUUCCAGUUGCCAGGCAUAAGAUGCAUGGAAGAGAGUGUAGCAGAGUAGGCAAGGUAGAAGGAUCUUUAGAACGGAAAGUAUUUUCGUCAAUCUUGUAUAAGCACCGGGGUUUUUUGCUUUAAUGAUUUGUUGCGCCAAGACAUCGGAUGCAAGACUAGAAAGAAAAGAUUCCUGGCUGAAUGGUUACAGCCAUAUGGACGUGCUGAUUAUGCAGGCCAUUGCUGAAGACAACAGCACAUUUUUCACUAGUAUAUUCAAAGCAAAAGAAGAGAUAAGAGCAGAUACCUUCAGGGCUAUAUAGAUGAUUUCAGCAAGUCUUUGUUUUAGCAAGUUUGUUAUUAGAUUAACUAUAGGAAAUAACUCUACAGUUAACCAUAAUAAAUUUCAA